UUCCUUUAAGUGCACUCACAAACACUCUGCAUGAAAUAAUUAAAGUUCUUACUGAAUUUCCCCAGUAACUGGAUGGGAUGCUGAGAGCAGCUGCAGGAACAAUUUUUGUUGUCCGGAGUACAGUCCUCUCCAUCUGCAGUUGUCAUCUAUAAAUGGCCCACUUGUAAGGGGCUUGUCUCCAAUGGCAUCUGAAGCUUGUUGUCUCCUGCUCUCCACAAAAUUUGGAAUUCUCCAGCAAAAGGAGACAACCCUUUCCACUUUGGGCUCUAUGGGUUCUAUGUUGCAUUUCUGAAACAGAAAUGGAUUUUAUGGAUAUUAUGAAAUGCACCAGAAAAAGAUUUUCAAUGUAAGAUUUUGAAGCCAGGUACUUGGCACAUUGAAGCCUUCUCUGGGCAUUUGUGUAGAUGUAGGUUGAUGUUCAUUCUACAAUUCAAAAAGAGUUAUUUUUAAGGAAUGCAGCUGAUCGCGUGGCACCAGACACAAGUUAGGACUGCUCGUAGUCCUCGAUUUGGAUAACAGAAGGAUAAGUUUGUCACCUGCUAUUGACGAUUGAAAUGAUAAGAGAAUACAGCAAUACUGCAAUUCAUGCUAAAAAUUACCGAAAAAUACUUCACUUAUGACAAUCGCCUAACACCAAAAUAUCGCAAUGCUGAAUUAUCCUAAUUAAUACAACAUACCGUGGUAAU
Pocillopora verrucosa is the source of this 686-nucleotide non-coding RNA. The record is from RefSeq and is a predicted model, not a curated record. Lineage: Eukaryota; Metazoa; Cnidaria; Anthozoa; Scleractinia; Pocilloporidae.